GAUGAACGCUAGCGGGAGGCUUAACACAUGCAAGUCGAGGGGCAGCACGAGGUAGCAAUACUUUGGUGGCGACCGGCGCACGGGUGAGUAACGCGUAUGCAACCUACCCUGUACAGGGGGAUAGCCCGGAGAAAUUCGGAUUAAUACCCCAUAAAGAUAUUUUGAGGCAUCUUUUAAUAUUUAAAGUUUCGGCGGUACGGGAUGGGCAUGCGUGACAUUAGCUAGUUGGUAGGGUAACGGCCUACCAAGGCUACGAUGUCUAGGGGUCCUGAGAGGGUGAUCCCCCACACUGGUACUGAGACACGGACCAGACUCCUACGGGAGGCAGCAGUGAGGAAUAUUGGUCAAUGGACGGAAGUCUGAAUCAGCCCUCCCGCGUGCAGGAAGAAAGCGCUUUGCGUUGUAAACUGCUUUUUCCCAAGGGAGAAAAACCCCCACCUGUCGGGGCUGUCGGUCCUUUGGGAAAAAACCCCGCUAAUCCUGCC
This 485-nucleotide ribosomal RNA is filed under the name uncultured bacterium. RNAcentral's name for it is "bacterial SSU rRNA". It matches the Rfam family "Bacterial small subunit ribosomal RNA", at positions 28 to 509 of the family's 1533-position model. The record is from RNAcentral.